Molecule: ribosomal RNA, 756 nt
Filed under: uncultured Neocallimastigales
Lineage: Eukaryota; Fungi; Neocallimastigomycota; Neocallimastigomycetes; Neocallimastigales
Description: partial large subunit ribosomal RNA
Rfam family: Eukaryotic large subunit ribosomal RNA
Source: RNAcentral
CGUCUAUAUACGUAUAGCAUAUCAAUAAGCGGAGGAAAAGAAACUAACAAGGAUUCCCCUAGUAACGGCGAGUGAAGCGGGAAGAGCUCAAAUUAGAAAUCUUCAAGGGUUUCCCUUGACGAAUUGUAGUUUAAAGAAGUGUUUUCUGUUAGAGAGGUGGUAAAAGUUCUUUGGAAUAGGACAUCAUAGAGGGUGAGAAUCCCGUAUUUGAUCACUUUCUACUAACGUUGUGAUACACUUUCAAAGAGUCGGAUUGUUUGGGAAUGCAGUCCAAAAUGGGUGGUAAAUUUCAUCUAAAGCUAAAUAUUGGCGAGAGACCGAUAGCGAACAAGUACCGUGAGGGAAAGAUGAAAAGAACUUUGAAAAGAGAGUUAAACAGUACGUGAAAUUGUCAAAAGGGAAGCGUUUGACACCAGUGUUGUUUUUCCGAAAAUCAAUUAAGAAUGGCCGGAUUUUAAGUUUCAUGACCUUAAAAGCUUGUUUCUUAUUUUUCUUGUCUUUCUUAAUGCACUUUUCGGUUAACAAGUCAACAUCAAUUUCUUUUGUUGUAAAAGGUUAAGAGGAAGGUGGCUUUACUUUCGGGUAAAGUGUUUAUAGCCUUUUAACUCUGCAAUCGGAGAGAUUGAGGUCUGCAGCGUAGAUCCUUCGGGGCUAGAUACGUUUGUGCUAAGUUAUAGCUUUUCAUAGACAACUUGUUGACUAUGUUUAGUCUUGUAGCUUACUCGCAUGCUGCUAUUUUACCUACGCUUAGGAUGU